UUCAUUCUGUAAUUUGUAAGUGUUAUGAUUGGGUGUUCACACACAUGUGUUAGAUGUGCCUCCCCUGGACAUGUUACCAGCCUGAUG
Small nucleolar RNA from Pongo abelii (Sumatran orangutan), 87 nucleotides. Lineage: Eukaryota; Metazoa; Chordata; Mammalia; Primates; Hominidae. The record is from Ensembl.